CUCUCUCCCACAGCAAACACACCGAGCAACAGUCAGCCGUGCUUCUCUCUGCCCCGGGCGGCCGGAGACGCCACGUCAAGUCAGCCGGAAGCAUGGCGAUGGAUUUCCGGUAUGAAAAACUCUUGACUGAGAGGGAAGCAGACAGUCCUGGGUCGUGGAUAUAACCUCCCGGCAAAGGGCGACGCACGUGCAGCCAGAUGGCGAUCAGAGACAUGACUGCGGUAAUUGAAAUGCGACGGGUGUGUGCCGACAUGCUUUGUCACCGGCUCUGGCUCUGCUCCAGCGUGUCCUGCGGGGCGACAGGAGGGUGUAGUCCUGAUCAGCAGCUGGCCUCGUGCUGUCUGACCUCUGACCUCCACGAUCCUCCCCCCUUCUCUCUCUCUCUGCUACACCCACGCUCUGACUGCUUUCUUUCUUUCUUUUUUUAAACUCCAGUACAAAUCCUUUCAUUAUGAACAGUUUAGGUCGCUCACAGAUGUCUCGUUUUUUUUUUGUUUUUUUUUGAUGCGUUCUACAUGAUGAGACCAGGUGGCUGAAGCUGCUUGAGGCAACAGUGACACCCUGUUUAAAACUAUCGUUAUCAUCCCAGAGGAAAAGCAGAAACUACAACUGAUAAAACAACAGCGCUUCUGGCUGGCGGAGGGACACGUCCUCACAAACACUGGAUGGUUUGUCACAUAUCUGAAACGUUAAAACGAUCUGAAACAUUUCUGCUUCCCAGAGGAUGAAUCCUACCGCCUUCAUCGUGUGGUUGACAGUUUUUGAGUGUAAAACCUUGAUAAUAACUUCUGUUAUUAAUGGACUUGAGUGAAUACAUUAAUUUUUGUGUCAUCGGUUGUUGGAGACCUGCAGGAAUGACGCUUCAUACAAAAUCCAUUUAAAUAGAACAGUAAAAACAUUUUAUUUGAGACCCUAAAAACAUUGAACAGUUUCCUUUAAAACAAACACAAACAUAUAAAAGUCGAACAUUUACAUGUGAAAUUCUCAUGUUGUUGAACGCGACCUCAGUUGUUCUCCCGUAGAUCUGACCGAGGAAAGCUCGAUCAGAUCCCCGUGCACUCCCCGGCCCUGCAGAUGGCUGCAGCGCGAGUGUGACGACGUGCAAAAAACAAUAAAUAGCUGGCGGCUGUGAAACCUGAGGCCUGCAGAUCAGCAGAGGUCAGACUGCAGCGUCUCCCACUGUCUGAAGGGCGCAUCGAUCUACGGGAACCCGGCCCCGAAAAUAACCCGCCUGUACUCAUAACGCAGCAGCUUCUGGAUUUAAAACACGAUCGGUCUGCUCUCACAGCAUGCUGAUCGAGUCUGACUUAAAGGGGAAUUCUGGUGUUUUUAAACAAAGCCCUUUUUUUUUUAUCCUUCUUCUUUUUUUUUUUUUUUUUACAUAUCACCUUGAGCAAAUUCUUCUGCAUUACAAUCUCUAAUACAGAAGAGCUUUCAUAUCAGCACAGACAUAUAC
Acanthopagrus latus (yellowfin seabream) is the source of this 1456-nucleotide long non-coding RNA. RefSeq lists it as uncharacterized. The record is from RefSeq and is a predicted model, not a curated record. The transcript has 3 exons. NCBI's taxonomy places the organism in Eukaryota, Metazoa, Chordata, Actinopteri, Spariformes, Sparidae.